UAGCCAAGGACGGCGAGACGGAGGUGGGCAAGAUCACGAAGCAGUGGACUGGGCUGGUGCGCGAAGCCUUCACCGACGCCGAGAACUUCGGGGUGCAGUUCCCCAUGGACCUGGACGUGAAGGUCAAGGCCACGCUGCUCGGAGCAUGCUUCCUCAUCGAUUUUAUGUUCUUUGAGCAUAACAAGUGAGACAAAGGCUGACGAAGCAGGCACCGCACACAUGCACACACACACAUGCACACACACACACACGCACACACACACACACACAUGCACACACACACGCACACACGCACACACCCACACGCACGCACACGCACGCACACACACACGCGCACGUACACAUACGCGCGCACACACACGCACGCACCCACAUGCACACGCACGCACACACGCACACACCCACACGCACGCACGCACACACACACACACGCACACGCGCACACACACGCACACGUACGCACACACACACACCCACACACACCCACACACACACGCACCCACAUGCACGCACACACGCACACACCCACACACCCACACACACACACGCACACACGCACCCACACACACACGCACCCACACACACGCGCACCCACACGCACGCACACACACACGCACACACGCACGCACGCACACGCCGCAACAACCACCACGCCGCCGACACUAACCGUGAGCGGGAAUCAAGCUCGUGCCGUCGGGGUUUGUCGCGGUGCGCUAACCGCUGCGCCACCACUCCACCACUACGACUGCUUCUAGCCGGGCGUCGCCACCUUCCCCCGGGGGUUAACAGCGACCCGGCACACCACAUCCAGUAUACCUCGACGACAUUACCGCAGCCGCCACGUCCUGCGGUCCCGUGAUCUCGGCACACGGACCGCAUUCACCCUAAACCUGUGGUGCAGCAGCAGCUGGUGCAGCAGGUGCAGCAGCAGUAGAUGCAGCAUCCUGUGCAGCAGCAGCAGGUGCAGCAGCAACAGAUGCAGCAUCAUGCGCAGCAGUAGCUGGUGCAGCAGCAGCAGGUGCAGCAGCAGCAGGUGCAGCAGCAGCAGGUGCAGCAGGUGCAGCAGCAGCAGGUGCAGCAGCAGCAGGUGCAGCAGCAGCAGGUGCAGCAUGCGCAGCAGUAGCUGGUGCAGCAGCAGCAGGUGCAGCAGCAGCAGGUGCAGCAGGUGCAGCAUUCUGCGUAGCAGUAGCUGGGCUACGGAGCGCAGGGUUAAUCCGGAUCCGGAAUUCGGGUUGAACUCGGCAGCCGGGAACCCCUUCCCUGUGACCUCUACCCCGUGACCUGCCCUAUGUAACCUCUCCCCCUUGACCUCACCCCCAUGACCUGCCCUCCGUGACCUCUCCCCUGUGACCUCCCCCUCGUGACCUGCCCUCCGUGAUCCUUUCCUCCUUCGUGACCUCUCCUCCCCAUGACCUGCCCUCCGUGACCUCUCCCCUGUGACCUCUCCCCUGUGACCUCUACCAUGUGGCCUGCCCUCCGUGACCUCUACCCCGUGACCUGCCCUCUGUGACCUCUCCCCUGUGACCUCUACCCCGUGACCUGCCCUCCGUGACCUCUCCCCUGUGACCUCUACCCCGUGACCUGCCCUCUGUGACCUCUACCCCGUGACCUCUCCCCCGUGGCCUGCCCUCCGUGACCUCUACCCCGUGACCUCCCCCCUGUGACCUCUCCCCUGUGACCUCUCCCCCGUGACCUCCCCCCUUUGACCUCUCCCCCGUGACCUCCCCCCCGUGACCUCCCCCCCGUGACCUCUCCCCCGUGACCUCUCCCCCGUGACCUCACCUCCGUGACCUCCCCUUAUCCGUCGUAGUCCGUGGCCUUAACUCUCUGGGUACGUCACCAUUUCGUUCCUUCUUGCGGAGGAGGUGGAGGGGGGGGGGGGCAUCGGGGGCGGGAGGAUCAGAUUGCCGAUUCGGACUCAGCAUCUUCACUUGGACUGCGGCUUCGAAGCCUCCGUGCGGCAUCGGCUUGUGCCGGGCCGGGCCUCGUCACAGCUCACCGGAUAUCCACCACCGUCCCGUGGUGGAUAAUCUGAUGAGCCGGGAAGCCUUUCGUCACGGGUGUCCAGUACGGGGCGGCAGGAACUGAUCGUCGGCGAUUUGUAAUCACGCAAACGGGUUUUGAUUCCUUACCCGUACCCGUACCCCAGGCCGCACCAGGGUCGCAAACGGGUACCUGUACCCGUACCCGGCCGGGUACGGGUACCCGUUCCCUACCCGUACCCGUACCCUACCCGAAAUGAGUGACAAACGGUGACUGACCAGUGACUCACGGCCUACCCGUACCCGGCCGCACCAGGGUCACAAGCGGCUACCCGUACCCGGGUACGGGUAGCCGGGUAUCGGGUAGGGUACGGGUAUCGGGUACCCGGUUGCGACCUCUGGUUGUAACCCCUCCCCUCCUGCACACACGACGAGUUGACCCCCACCACCAGUCCCCCCCUCCCUCCCCCCCCCCCCCAAAAUUACACUAUGCACCGAAGCGACGGUCGCGAAUGCCUUCCGUACGACGAUGAUGAGUUUUUUUUUUUACUCUCUAAGAAAGUUUUUUUUAUUUUUAAAAUCCCUUCAGGAAAUUGUUUUUAGUAUUUCUCUUUUCCCGAAAAACCCUCACGUCGGCGUCAUUUCACCGAUAUCGCCGCCGUAGUUUUCGCGGAACCUUUUCACCGAGUUGCGCUAUUACCGCCCAUCUUAUAUCCCGUCGGUGGCGUUUCUCCGUCGUUGAACCCUGUGAACGCCAGCGGCUUUUCUGUCGGUGGGUUUGGCGGCCCAGGAUUUUUUUUGUCGCGCGGCCGAUCGAAACGAUUACCUUGAAGAGGCUCAAUCCUGGAGCACAUUGCGGGCGACCUCUCUCGACUCCCAACAACAUCGCCCGCCCGCCCGCCCGCUCACCCACCGCUGGCAGAUUAGAACCCACUGUGCGCUGUCUACCUCAAAGCUUGAAGAUGCCUCUUCUUGGCUCUUUCGGUAAAGUCACGUAGAAGGGAAGUAAUAAAAUAAUAAAAAUGAAACAUAAUAAAAUAAUUAUCACGACGUUUCGGCUACAACGCAAGCAGCCGUCCUCAGGUGAAAACCAGGUCUGUCGAGGCGACAGCUUCUGAAUGAAACAGCACCAUGCUUGGAGCGUAUAUUUAAGCUGGGUUGGAAGGGGGGGAAAGGGCGCCUUGACAAAAUAAUUUGUAUAUCAAGAAGAAUUCAGCAUAUUUAUGGGAAAUGCAGGUAUGUGAUUAGUACUACUCAUGCCCGUGCAUUAUGCAGGAUUAGCAGCAUCAAAGGGAGGGGAUAUGGGAAAUGCAGGUAUGUGAUUAGUACUACUUAUGCCCGUGCAUUAUGCAGGAUUAGCAGCAUCAAAGGGAGGGGAUAUGGGAAAUGCAGGUAUGUGAUUAGUACUACUUAUGCCCGUGCAUUAUGCAGGAUUAGCAGCAUCAAAGGGAAGAGAUAUGGAAAAUGCAGGUAUGUGGUUUUCACCUGAGGACGGCUGCUUGCGUUGUGGCCGAAACGUCGUAAAGAAUGAUCUUAUUAUGUUUUAUUUUUAUUAUUUUAUUACUUCCCUUCUACGUGACUUUACCUAAAUAACCAAGAAGAUGAAUCCCUGCAGUCACGAAAGCUUUAAAUCGAAACUUAAAGAUGCCGUCGCCCGCUUGCUAACCGUGCCGUGGGUUUGUUGAGCGAGCACCGCUGUAACAGGUCGAAAUGGAUCCGCGGCAGGACGAAUGGAUACGUGUUGACGCUGAAGGAUGCCAAUCAUCGGGGGUGGCCUGAUGUGUUUGGGGGGCUUAUUCCAUCCACCAAUCGUGUCCUUUAGAUGCAGAAAUUGCGUGCCGAGGGAUCGCUUUAACGAUUUUUAAAAAAAUGCGCGCUCAAAAUAUCGCAGCCCGAUCGACGCUCCAUCCACGCUCGGUCACAUAGACCAACGCGCUCAAAAUAUCUCAGCCCGAUCGACGCUCCAUCCACGCUCGGUCACAUAGACCAACGCGCUCAAAAUAUCGCAGCCCGAUCGACGCUCCAUCCACGCUCGGUCACAUAGACCAACGCGCUCAAAAUAUCUUAGCCCGAUCGACGCUCAAUCCACGCUCGGUCACAUAGACCAACGCGCUCAAAAUAUCUCAGCCCGAUCGACGCUCCAUCCACGCUCAGUCACAUAGACCAACGCGCUCAAAAUAUCUCAGCUCGAUCCACGCUCAAUCCACGCUCGGUCACAUAGACCAACCAACGCGCUCAAAAUAUCUCAGCCCGAUCGACGCUCCAUCCACGCUCGGUCACAUAGACCAACGCGCUCAAAAUAUCGCAGCCCGAUCGACGCUCCAUCCACGCUCGGUCACAUAGACCAACGCGCUCAAAAUAUCGCAGCCCGAUCGAUGCUCGAUUGUCGUAAAAAAAACACAUCGGUCGAUUCCCGUUCCCAGUAUUCCUUAAAUGGGCAAAACCGCUCCCAAUAACUCCAUUUUGUGGGCCUAAAACACGAAACAUAAUUUGUCAUUCACUCCGUUCGCGGAUUCAUUUUUUUUUAUCCCGUCGCAGCGCGAACGACACGCGUAGCCGACGGGGUGGAUCGGGCGCGGCGCGUCUGUCCGUCCGUUUGUCCAUCGCGUUUUCCCUGCAAAGGAGAGGUAACAAGUAUAACCCAUAAAAAAAGUUUUUCACUAUAAAUCCUUUAUAUGCGUGGCGGCUAGAGUCCUCUCGUCCUCUGGCUUGAGAUGGCUGCCACCUAUGGGUCAGAUGAUUGCCUGCCACCAUUAAGCAAUUUGUAAUUAAAUAUAAAAAAUUCCUAAAAAGUGUAAAAUUUUGGAAAAAAAUUUCACGAACAUUAAUUGUCACGCACAACGAGUCUGUGUGCAAAAUGUCAGCUCGAUUGGAUCACGGGAAGUGGGUUAAAAAACGACCGAAAAAUUUGCACGGUCCUAAGCAAGCAAGCAAGCACGCAAGUGAACUUAAUAUAAAGGAUUUAAAAAUGGUGAACGGAUCCCACGAACGCUCGCUCGCUCUAUCCACCUUUCGGGGAACGCGUGGUUCCUUCUCCCCACCCCCUCCUCCGUAGUUUUGGGGGGGCCGGGGUUUGUGCCCACCGAUGGUAGAGAGAGGACAUCUCUUGCCAAUGCGAAAAAAAUUUUAAACGCACGCGUGUGUGUUUGUGUUAUGCGCAAGUUGGUUGGGCUUUUCCUUUUUCUACUUUUCCUCCUCAUUCUCCUACUCUUCCUCCACCUCCUCCUCCUCCACCUCAUCCUCCUCCUUCCCCCUACCUCUUCCUCCUCCUUAUAUAAUUACGCAAUCUAACUCCAAAAAAACCCGUCCAUUAUGUGUGUGUUUAAAACGUAAUCAAUGCAUUAACAAAAUUGUAUAUGUGAAGCAUGCAAGUCAUUCUAUUAAACUGGUUAAGCAAGA
Molecule: long non-coding RNA, 5381 nt
Organism: Lethenteron reissneri (Far Eastern brook lamprey)
Lineage: Eukaryota; Metazoa; Chordata; Hyperoartia; Petromyzontiformes; Petromyzontidae
Source: RefSeq, a predicted model, not a curated record